Molecule: non-coding RNA, 1383 nt
Organism: Sus scrofa (pig)
Lineage: Eukaryota; Metazoa; Chordata; Mammalia; Artiodactyla; Suidae
Source: RefSeq, a predicted model, not a curated record
UCUUAACUUGUUUCACCCUGAGGCCAAUCUGGAACACUCACCUAGAGAGCUUCUUGAUACUAUCAAGAACCUAAACUGAUCACUCCUUAGGAUCCAGGUGAGUGGUUAGUGCCUGGACCCCAUGCAGAGGAUCAAACACACGUCCUUCCCUAGGCUCCCCCAGCUCCACUGAGCCACGUGCUGUUGGUGGAGUCAUUGAGGGCACCCACUCCUGAAGGGAGAAGGGGACGUUGCUGGGGCUGUCUGGUGUCCCCCAAAGGCAAGAUGACUGCCUUGCCCUUCUGCCAGUCCUUUCAGGCUCCAGAAGAAGUGCUCAGAACAACAGGAGGACUUUGUGAUAAGUCCCCAAUGAACCCAAAAGGAGGAGGGAAACUCUGCUGCCUUUGUCUGCAUCCAGGUAAGAUGCUCAGAGCCCAGCAGACCAGCCACAGCAGCACUCCCCAGGCGCAUCUGCUCUGCGUGGCACAGGAGGACACAGGACAGCAGCUGGGGUGAGGAGGGAAAAGAGGGUCGAAGAGACAGGGGGAGGAAUGACAGGCAAAGAGGAAAGAAGACAAUAUAAGUAGAAAAGAAGGGGCUGAGUUCCAAAAAGGAAUUGCAGGAGAGCCUUCUAAUGCUCAGCCAGAUCCUGUUCUCUUUGCCUUCUGGAAACUUCCAAGCUCAUGGAAGGAUGACCCUUCCUAGCCCAUCAGGUCAGGGGGUCCAGGCGACAAGUUACACCAGAGCAGGUGGACCUGAUAUGGGGUGGAGCGUUUCUCUGUACCCAGUUUAGGGACAGUGGCAGCCUUGUCACCAUGGGCACCAUGAGACAGGAGAAGCCUGGAAUGAUGAGCCAACACAUGGAAGACAUUUGUCCUGGAGUGACACCCAGACCUGACGAUUCUGCUUACGUGAGAGAGAAAUUUUGCCAUAUGAGCCACUGAAAAUUAGAGGUGGUUUAUUACUGCAGCACCAGCUAGCCUACCCUUGUGAAAGAUAAAGAGGUAAAGAGCAGGAAGGAGAGAGAAGCAGCAAGAGAAAAAGAAAAAAAAGGGCACAGGAGGAGAGGGGGAGAAAAAGGGAACUCCACGCCAAUGUUCCACCUGGCAGAGAGACAAGAAUGAUCGCAAACUUCAGCCACCAGGCGGGGAUGAGUUUGAGGAAAGAGAUCCAGAGGCUGCGCUGGCUGGUUCUGCCAGGAACCCGCUGUGAUGGGACCACGAUUGUCCUUUGAAGACAGCGUUCUAGCGGGGUGGUAUUGCUGGUGAAGGGUAAAUACUAUAGUUAAAUGAUGACAUAACAACUAUUUUCACUUAAAGUUAUAUCAUGUCCUCCCAUUAUGUUUUACCUUUAAAUGUGCAGUACCAAAUAUUAGUGUAUUAGCAAGGAAAUGUCUUUUUUUCU